Molecule: small nucleolar RNA, 69 nt
Organism: Diceros bicornis minor
Lineage: Eukaryota; Metazoa; Chordata; Mammalia; Perissodactyla; Rhinocerotidae
Product: small nucleolar RNA SNORD61
Exons: 1
Source: RefSeq, a predicted model, not a curated record
GCUAUGAUGAAUUUGAUUACAUUGAUCCAAAAUGAUAAUGUAUUUUGUCCUCUAAGAAGUUCUGAGCUU